UUAAGCGACUAAGCGUACACGGUGGAUGCCCUGGCAGUCAGAGGCGAUGAAGGACGUGCUAAUCUGCGAAAAGCGCCGGCGAGGUGAUAUGAACCUUUGACCCGGCGAUGUCCGAAUGGGGAAACCCAGUGUGUUCCGACACACUAUCGUUAACUGAAUACAUAGGUUAACGAGGCGAACCGGGGGAACUGAAACAUCUAAGUACCCCGAGGAAAAGAAAUCAACCGAGAUUCCCCCAGUAGCGGCGAGCGAACGGGGAGCAGCCCAGAGUCUGAAUCAGCUUGUGUGUUAGUGGAACGGUCUGGAAAGUCCGACGGUACAGGGUGAUAGUCCCGUACACGAAAAUGCACAGGCUGUGAACUCGAAGAGUAGGGCGGGACACGUGGUAUCCUGUCUGAAUAUGGGGGGACCAUCCUCCAAGGCUAAAUACUCCUGACUGACCGAUAGUGAACCAGUACCGUGAGGGAAAGGCGAAAAGAACCCCGGCGAGGGGAGUGAAAAAGAACCUGAAACCGUGUACGUACAAGCAGUGGGAGCACCUUCGGGUGUGACUGCGUACCUUUUGUAUAAUGGGUCAGCGACUUAUAUUCUGUAGCAAGGUUAACCGUAUAGGGGAGCCGAAGGGAAACCGAGUCUUAACUGGGCGUUAAGUUGCAGGGUAUAGACCCGAAACCCGGUGAUCUAGCCAUGGGCAGGUUGAAGGUUGGGUAACACUAACUGGAGGACCGAACCGACUAAUGUUGAAAAAUUAGCGGAUGACUUGUGGCUGGGGGUGAAAGGCCAAUCAAACCGGGAGAUAGCUGGUUCUCCCCGAAAGCUAUUUAGGUAGCGCCUCGUGAACUCAUCUUCGGGGGUAGAGCACUGUUUCGGCUAGGGGGCCAUCCCGGCUUACCAACCCGAUGCAAACUACGAAUACCGAAGAAUGUUAUCACGGGAGACACACGGCGGGUGCUAACGUCCGUCGUGAAGAGGGAAACAACCCAGACCGCCAGCUAAGGUCCCAAAGUCAUGGUUAAGUGGGAAACGAUGUGGGAAGGCACAGACAGCCAGGAUGUUGGCUUAGAAGCAGCCAUCAUUUAAAGAAAGCGUAAUAGCUCACUGGUCGAGUCGGCCUGCGCGGAAGAUGUAACGGGGCUAAACCAUGCACCGAAGCUGCGGCAGCGACACUAUGUGUUGUUGGGUAGGGGAGCGUUCUGUAAGCCGUUGAAGGUGGCCUGUGAGGGUUGCUGGAGGUAUCAGAAGUGCGAAUGCUGACAUAAGUAACGAUAAAGCGGGUGAAAAGCCCGCUCGCCGGAAGACCAAGGGUUCCUGUCCAACGUUAAUCGGGGCAGGGUGAGUCGACCCCUAAGGCGAGGCCGAAAGGCGUAGUCGAUGGGAAACAGGUUAAUAUUCCUGUACUUGGUGUUACUGCGAAGGGGGGACGGAGAAGGCUAUGUUAGCCGGGCGACGGUUGUCCCGGUUUAAGCAUGUAGGCGGAACGAUUAGGUAAAUCCGGUCGUUUUUUAACGCUGAGGUGUGAUGACGAGGCACUACGGUGCUGAAGUAACAAAUGCCCUGCUUCCAGGAAAAGCCUCUAAGCAUCAGGUAACAUCAAAUCGUACCCCAAACCGACACAGGUGGUCAGGUAGAGAAUACCAAGGCGCUUGAGAGAACUCGGGUGAAGGAACUAGGCAAAAUGGUGCCGUAACUUCGGGAGAAGGCACGCUGAUAUGUAGGUGAAGCCCCUGCGGGUGGAGCUGAAAUCAGUCGAAGAUACCAGCUGGCUGCAACUGUUUAUUAAAAACACAGCACUGUGCAAACACGAAAGUGGACGUAUACGGUGUGACGCCUGCCCGGUGCCGGAAGGUUAAUUGAUGGGGUUAGCGGCAACGCGAAGCUCUUGAUCGAAGCCCCGGUAAACGGCGGCCGUAACUAUAACGGUCCUAAGGUAGCGAAAUUCCUUGUCGGGUAAGUUCCGACCUGCACGAAUGGCGUAAUGAUGGCCAGGCUGUCUCCACCCGAGACUCAGUGAAAUUGAACUCGCUGUGAAGAUGCAGUGUACCCGCGGCAAGACGGAAAGACCCCGUGAACCUUUACUAUAGCUUGACACUGAACACUGGUCCUUGAUGUGUAGGAUAGGUGGGAGGCUUUGAAGUGUGGACGCCAGUCUGCAUGGAGCCGUCCUUGAAAUACCACCCUUUAAUGGCUGGUGUUCUAACGUAGACCCGUAAUCCGGGUUGCGGACAGUGUCUGGUGGGUAGUUUGACUGGGGCGGUCUCCUCCCAAAGAGUAACGGAGGAGCACGAAGGUUAGCUAAUCCUGGUCGGACAUCAGGAGGUUAGUGCAAUGGCAUAAGCUAGCUUGACUGCGAGAGUGACGGCUCGAGCAGGUGCGAAAGCAGGUCAUAGUGAUCCGGUGGUUCUGAAUGGAAGGGCCAUCGCUCAACGGAUAAAAGGUACUCCGGGGAUAACAGGCUGAUACCGCCCAAGAGUUCAUAUCGACGGCGGUGUUUGGCACCUCGAUGUCGGCUCAUCACAUCCUGGGGCUGAAGUAGGUCCCAAGGGUAUGGCUGUUCGCCAUUUAAAGUGGUACGCGAGCUGGGUUUAGAACGUCGUGAGACAGUUCGGUCCCUAUCUGCCGUGGGCGCUGGAGAAUUGAGGGGGGCUGCUCCUAGUACGAGAGGACCGGAGUGGACGCAUCACUGGUGUUCGGGUUGUCAUGCCAAUGGCACUGCCCGGUAGCUAAAUGCGGAAGAGAUAAGUGCUGAAAGCAUCUAAGCACGAAACUUGCCCCGAGAUGAGUUCUCCCUGAGCCUUUAAGGCUCCUGAAGGAACGUUGAAGACGACGACGUUGAUAGGUCGGGUGUGUAAGCGCAGCGAUGCGUUGAGCUAACCGAUACUAAUGAACCGUGAGGCUUAACCUU
RNAcentral lists this ribosomal RNA (2902 nucleotides) under Enterobacter sp. BIDMC92. Its description in RNAcentral is "bacterial LSU rRNA". It matches the Rfam family "Bacterial large subunit ribosomal RNA". Lineage: Bacteria; Pseudomonadati; Pseudomonadota; Gammaproteobacteria; Enterobacterales; Enterobacteriaceae. The record is from RNAcentral.